UGCAGUCGAACGAGAAUCCGGGGCAACUCGGUAGUAAAGUGGCGAACGGGUGAGGAAUACAUGGGUAACCUGCCCUUGAAAGUGGAAUAACCUAUCGAAAGAUGGGCUAAUACCAUAUACGCUUCCUAGUUUACGGAUUGGGAAGGAAAGUCGUAUCGAGGAUACGGUGUUCAAGGAGGGGCUCAUGGCCUAUCAGCUUGUUGGUGGGGUAAUGGCCUACCAAGGCAACGACGGGUAGCUGGUCUGAGAGGAUGAUCAGCCACACUGGCACUGAGAUACGGGCCAGACUCCUACGGGAGGCAGCAGUGAGGAAUAUUGCGCAAUGGGCGAAAGCCUGACGCAGCGACGCCGCGUGGGGGAUGAAGGUUUUCGGAUUGUAAACCCCUUUCAGGAGGAAAGAUAAGGCAGGUUACUGCCCGGACGGUACCUCCAGAAGAAGCCACGGCUAACUUCGUGCCAGCAGCCGCGGUAAUACGAAGGUGGCGAGCGUUGUUCGGAUUUACUGGGCGUAAAGAGCGCGUAGGCGGUUAGGUAAGCCUCUUGU
This 544-nucleotide ribosomal RNA is filed under the name uncultured Nitrospira sp. RNAcentral describes it as "bacterial SSU rRNA". It matches the Rfam family "Bacterial small subunit ribosomal RNA", at positions 56 to 595 of the family's 1533-position model. Lineage: Bacteria; Pseudomonadati; Nitrospirota; Nitrospiria; Nitrospirales; Nitrospiraceae. The record is from RNAcentral.